Molecule: ribosomal RNA, 515 nt
Filed under: uncultured bacterium
Lineage: Bacteria
Description: bacterial SSU rRNA
Rfam family: Bacterial small subunit ribosomal RNA
Source: RNAcentral
ACUCCUACGGGAGGCAGCAGUAGGGAAUAUUGCACAAUGGGGGAAACCCUGAUGCAGCGACGCCGCGUGAGUGAUGAAGGCCUUCGGGUCGUAAAGCUCUGUCGCAGGGGAAUAACACAAUGAAUGUACCCUGCAAGAAAGGAUCGGCUAACUUCGUGCCAGCAGCCGCGGUAAGACGAGGGAUCCUAGCGUUGUUCGGAAUUAUUGGGCGUAAAGCGGAUGUAGGUGGCUUUGUAAGUCAGAUGUGAAAGCCCAGGGCUCAACCUUGGAAGUGCAUUUGAUACUGCGAAGCUUGAGUGUCGGAGAGGUUACUAGAAUUGUUGGUGUAGUGGUGAAAUACGUAGAUAUCAACAGGAAUACCGGAGGCGAAGGCGGGUAACUGGCCGAACACUGACACUGAGAUCCGAAAGCGUGGGGAUCAAACAGGAUUAGAUACCCUGGUAGUCCACGCCGUAAACGAUGGAUACUUGUUGUUAGAGGUAUUGACCCCUUUAGUGACGAAGCUAACGCGUUAA